Molecule: transfer RNA, 73 nt
Filed under: Marmota monax (woodchuck)
Lineage: Eukaryota; Metazoa; Chordata; Mammalia; Rodentia; Sciuridae
Description: tRNA.Ala
Source: RNAcentral
GGGUUGUGGCUCAGUGGUAGAGCACUUGGCCUGGCAUGUGCAAGGCCCUGGGUUCUAUCCCUAGCACUGUUCA